This 526-nucleotide ribosomal RNA is filed under the name uncultured Glomus. RNAcentral describes it as "SSU rRNA". It matches the Rfam family "Eukaryotic small subunit ribosomal RNA", at positions 548 to 1080 of the family's 1831-position model. The record is from RNAcentral. Lineage: Eukaryota; Fungi; Glomeromycota; Glomeromycetes; Glomerales; Glomeraceae.
UUGGAGGGCAAGUCUGGUGCCAGCAGCCGCGGUAAUUCCAGCUCCAAUAGCGUAUAUUAAAGUUGUUGCAGUUAAAAAGCUCGUAGUUGAAUUUCGGGAUCAAUGGGUUGGUCAUGCCCUCGGUAUGUACUGAUUUCAUUGGUUCUCACCUUCUAAGGAACCAUGAUGUCAUUUAUUUGAUGUUGUGGGAAAUUAGGACUGUUACCUUGAAAAAUUAGAGUGUUUAAAGCAGGCUAACGCUUGAAUACAUUAGCAUGGAAUAAUGAAAUAGGACAUCCGAUUCUAUUUUGUUGGUUUCUAGGAUCGAUGUAAUGAUUAAUAGGGAUAGUUGGGGGCAUUAGUAUUCAAUUGUCAGAGGUGAAAUUCUUGGAUUUAUUGAAGACUAACUACUGCGAAAGCAUUUGCCAAGGAUGUUUUCAUUAAUCAAGAACGAAAUUAGGGGAUCGAAGACGACCAGAUACCGUCGUAGUCUUAACCAUAAACUAUGCCGACUAGGGAUCGGAUGAUGCUUAUUUUUAAUGUACUC